Molecule: long non-coding RNA, 41060 nt
Filed under: Cucumis sativus (cucumber)
Lineage: Eukaryota; Viridiplantae; Streptophyta; Magnoliopsida; Cucurbitales; Cucurbitaceae
Description: long non-coding RNA (CSAT_LNC000881)
Source: RNAcentral
UUUUUGUAAGAUGUUGAAGUCCAGUUUGUUUUGAGAAUGUAAGCAAAGUCUCAUUGUGAGAAGGUUGUUGCUGGUAAAUUUCAAAAUACUCUCUUGCCUUGACUCUUGGAACACAUUUUCUAAUAGGAAAUUUCAAUGCAUUACUAACUUCAGAUGCAAAAUUUGGAUUAAUAUUUGAGUAAAGAUGAAUAUAUGCUUUAAGAUGUGUGGUUGUAAAUUCAAGAGCUUCCUCAAGCAAAGCUUCUCCAUGCCCCCUCAUAUGUGAUGCUUCAUAUAGGCUCAAUAUUCCUCUUUCAUCCUCAACCAAUGACUCUUUAAAUUUUCCAUUGUUGUCCAUGAACUUCAAAAAUAUAUCUGUUUUUAAUUUAAAUUAAGAGUGAAAAAGAACGCAUGAUGAGUUCUUAAGUUAAUUGAAUUUAAAAAAUGCUUAAUUUUGGAAGUUUCUAACUCUUUGCACUUUGACCUCGAAUAAUGUUUAAAACUAAAAAUAAGAAAACAAUUAUAUUUGUGUAUUUAACUUACCACAUGAAAUCCUAUAACCAUGUUGCCUGAGAAGUCGAAAUAGAAGAUCAUCAUCUUCACUAUCGUUGCUACUGAAUAAAAGGGAAUUAUUAUAAGACACAUACAUAUGUUCUAAGAAUUGAUCAAUCUCAUCUUCAAAAUGAUAAGAUACUCCCAGCCGUUGGAUUGAAUCAACCAAAUUUAGCUUUACCAAUGGAUUUUGCACAGAAGCAAUCACCUCCAUCCUUAUUUCUUCUUUCAAGUUUUCAAUUCUUUCUUUCAUGCCACCAUCUACUUUCUGAAAUAAAAAAAAAAAAAAUCAAAUUUAUUAAAAAUAUAAAAGUAUUAAUUAAAAUUUAAGCACGAACAAUAAAGUACUAGUAAUUAAAUUUUAAGACAAUAAAAUAACUUUUACCAAUGCAUCAACAAAUUUAAAUGAAAGAAAAUGUUCCUUCCAAAUAGUAGGAUGAAAUUUGCAAGAGAACGCUUAACAACAGAAAUAUCAUUGGUUUUCAUAAUGGAAGCUGGAACAUUUGAAACUUGAGAAGACAUGAUUUCUAAUUUUUCAAAGUAGAAAAGAAAAAUAGAAAAGGUAUUUGGGAUAAUCCUCUUGCCAAAAAGAAAAAUGUAUAUGUUAUUGACUUGAGAGUUUGAACUAUGGGUGAGACACUUCGUGACUUUCAAGCAGAUUUAUUUAUAGGCUAUUUUUCAUAGAUAUUUUGCAAAUUCUUAUCAUAUAUAUUGUAUUUUGUCCAACAUUAUUUACUUAUUUUUAUAAAAGAAUUUGAAUUUAAAUUUUAAAUUAAAAAAAAAAAAUUUGUUUCCCUCCCUAUUUUUUCCCAAUCAUCCCUUAUUUUUGUUUUCCUUUGUCACCAUGCUCAUACAUUCCCACUCUUCCACUUUCUUUCACUCUCACACCUUCUCCCACUUUCUCUCCGUAGUCUUUCACUCCACUUCACUUACUUAUCUAAAAAUAAACUAAAUAAACGAUCAAACUUACCCUAAACCUUUGACUAUAAGAAGAGAAGGAGGAGAUUCUUUUUUGAGGGGAUUUUUAGAGGAAAGGUACACUUAAAAAUAGAAUUUUUUUCAUAUGUAUUGUGAUUUGAGAAGAGAUUGAGAGGAUCAAGAAAAAACAUUUUGCAUUUAAGUCAGGUUAGUUUUUUUUUUCUUUUUUUAAAUUCAUGGUUGAUGAUUCUGCGUUAGUUAUUUGACACCCAUUUAGGCGUUGUCUUAAUUAUUCAUUUGAAUCACUCAUUUGGCUCCUAUGUUAAUUAUUCAUUUGCGUUAAUUAUUUGCAUCUGUAUUAAUGUGUUAAUUCUUCAUUUGCCAUCCUGUGUUAAUUAAUGAAUGAGCAUGUUGGCUUAUUCUAAUUACUUGGCACACAUUUGGCAUUUUGAGUUAAUUAUUUGCAUCUCGUUAAUUAUUUAACACCAAUUUGGCCUCUUGUUUUAAUUAUUCUCAUGUAUUAAUUAAUUAAUCGGCAUCCUCCAUCAUGCAAUAAUUAUUUGGCAUCCAUUUGGCUAUUUGACACCCAUUUGGCCUCUUGUGUUAAUUAUUCUCGUGUAUUAAUUAAUUAAUCUACAUCAUGCAUCCUGCAAUAAUUAUUUGACAUCUAUUUGACUAUUUGGCACCCAUUUGGCCUAUUGUGUUAAUUACUCUUGUGUUAAUUAUUUUCACAUAUUAAUUAAUUAGCAUGCUGACCUACUUUAAUUAAAUAAUUAGUAUAGCAAUAAGGUUGGGUACCUUAUCCUAAUAACACUAUGGAUAUAACUCACUUUGUAUUUGAUAUAAACACAAUGAUCCAACGCGUUCGUGUAGUUGACAUGCGAGUGAGGGUAUCCUAUGCAAUGAGUUUGCAUAAGACCGGACCGCGAAAUAGUAACCACUAAAUGUAACUCCUUUAACUAGUUAGGUUUCUAUUUCAUUAGGAUGACCUAGUUAACUUAGUUUUAAUCCUAAAUGUAUUAUGAACUCUUGUUCGUGUGAGAUUAUUCUUUCAUUUGUACGGGUAUGAGAGUGGCUAGAUCACCAACUUAAUAAGCGUAUCAUUUUGGGAACAAGACCGAGUGUGGAGCUAGAAAAAUAAUUACACAAGAUAGAAUUCACUCAUUCCCUACUUUGGGUAACUAGAUGAUUGUUCUUUUAAAUGGUGUUUCGAGGACUUGAACAAAGGGCCCCAUCCUCUCUAUGGCAUGAGAGAAGUUUUUGUUUAUUGGUAGGACCAUAAACAGGUUGUUCAAUAGAGGAGUACUAGUAUUUAAGGAUUAGAGGUAACUUAGGGGUAAAACGGUAAUUUGAUCCAACUAGUGUUUACAAACACUCGUAAAGAACUAACUUACUGUUAUUGGUCUAUAUCUGUGGACACAAAAAUAUAUCUACAGUGAGAAGAGUUCAGCUGUGAGUUAAUGAGUUUAGCCAAUUAAUCUCAAAUCCUUAUAGUUUCUGAUAUGUAGUUCCAUUAGAUCCUCUUCCUAGCUCAUAAAGGGUAACGAAGUUUAUUUAUAUUGGUUGUAAUUAGGUUUUAUUUAUAUUGAUUGUAAUUUGAAAUGUUCAAAAUUACUUUGAGAAUUAGUUUAAUGUAUAGUGAUAUAUUAUAAUAUAAUGUUUAUUAAACUUUAUUAUAUAAAUUUAAUUUUUGAUAUGAUUUAAAAUUAAUUUAUGAGAUAAAAAAUAUUUGAAUGAGUUUAAAUAUUAAUUUAAUAUGAAUUGGAUUCAUAUUAAAAUUAUUGGUUAUGAGAAACUUAUAUUUGAAUAUGAUUCAAAUUCAAUUUAAGUUAAAUAUAAGAUAUUUAAUUUAACUAUUAAUUAAUUGGAGAAUUAAUUAAAAGUUUAGUUUUAUUUUAUUUUAUUUUAUUAAAUUAAUAUAAAAUUAUAAGAUAUUGGAGAGAUAUUGAUUAAAUAAGAUUUAAAUGAAAUAUUAAUUAAUAUAUGAUCUAAUUAAUUGUUAACUAAUUGAUUAAUUAUUAAUUAAUUAGUAGAUUUGAAAUUUCUAUUAAUUUAAUAUUUUUUAAAUUAAUAGAAUCUCAUAAUUCUCUCCUACAUUAUUUUCUACUCCAAGAAGGAAAGAGAAUUAUAAAUAUCUAGAAGAAAAUAGUUUUCGAAAAAAAAGUAAAUGUUUUUUCUCUCUACAAAAAGAAAAUAGUUUCUCUCUAAACAUUUUUUUCCAUAUCAAUUGAUUCCCACAAAUCAAUCUCAUCCAAGAAGAUAGGAAGGUCUCUGACGAAUGGUGUCCUAAUUUGGAGAUUACUUUGUAGAUUCAGUGACAAACAAAUAAGUUUUUCUUUCUCUGAUAUAUAAUUAGAAAACAUGCAUCUUUAAGUCUUAAUAAGAAAACUACUUUCUUAAUAAAUUUUGCCAAUGUACUUGUAUUUUGGGAUUUUCAAAUUAAUUUGAGAAAUGAUUCUGUAGAAUCUUUUACUACCAUAUGCUUUUAUCCCUUAAGUCUUUUGCUUGGGUUAGACAUGUACCUUCUAAUUAAACUAGAUGAAUAAGAUAGAUCAGACUUAGUAGAAAUCAUUAGGUACAUUAUACUCCAUACAUUUGUGAGUCGGGGAUGUUUGUCAUGUACUUAACGUGGUUGAGAUCUUCUGGUUUUGGACUGUUAGCUGAUAGUUUGAAGUGUUGUGCAAGAGGAAUUGCUACUUGCUUAACAACUAACAUGUUACUUUAUAGCAGUAGUUACUUUGGUCUAUUGUUAGAAUCUGUUUUGUUCUUUCUCAUGUGAUGUCAAUGCCUAGAAUUCUCUUAGAUUCUCCAAGUUUCUUCAUAUCAAAUUCUUCCUUCAAGACUGUCUUUACUCUUGUAAUAUCAAUUUUAGAUUUUUCUACAAGAGUAGGUAAACCUUAGAAGAAUAGAAAUUUGAAUUUAUAAAUACACAACUAUCAUAGGAACUUUUAUUAAAAUGAAGUUUAGGGAUGAAAUCAUCAAACCUUUUAUACCAACACUUUGGUGAUUGUUUUAGACCAUAGGUUUUUUAUGAUAACAUACCUAGUCUUAUUUACCUUUUUCCGUGUAUCCUUGUAGUCACCUAAUUUUAUCCUAUAUUAUUUUCAAUAUUCUUUAAAAAUAUAUAUAUAAUGACUAAGUUUUUUAUUUUUUUCUUAAAAUAAUCAUUGUUAAAAAAAAUUCUUUAAUUAGCAUAUUUAUCAUUUUAAAAAAUCAACUUAAUUUUUUAAAAAAACUUUUUAAUUUAUUUGUUUUAAAUAAAAUCUUAUUUUGGCUUAUUUAUAUCAUUUUAGGGAAAAAAAACCGAAAAUCAAUUUUAAACAAAAAUCUUUUAAUAUCCAUUUGAUUUAUUAAUUUAUUUUUGACAAAAUCUUAAAAUAUCUCAUUUAAUUUACUUUAUCUAUUUUAGGAAAAUAAAAUUUUAUUUUAGUCACAUAAUAUCCAAUUUUUAUUUUAUUCUUAUUCAUUUUAUUUAUGGUACACCAUAGAUCUAUAAAUAGAGGUCUUUGUCAUUUGAAAUGAAGCAAGAAAUUUUUCAUUAGACAAAUUUAUGAAAGAGAAAAAAAAUUGGAGAAAGUUUCUUAGAGAAAAAAUUCUUUAGAAAGAGUUUAGAAAAAAAAUUAUUUAGAGAAAAUGUGUGAGGAGGGAUAAAUAUUGUUUGAAGAAAUUCUGUGCAAAAGGUGGGUCUUUAUUUUGUUCAUUACUUUAUUUUCUUUGUCAUACCUAAUUCCAUGUGAAAAUAAACUUAGUUAGAGGUUGCAUUGGAUAGAGAUUUACUCCGAAUGAUCCGCACCUCAAGUAAUUUUCUUUGAGAUUUGCAUCAUUAUUUAUUUUUCUUCUUUUCUAAAAGAAAAGAAAAUGUAGAUUUUUUUUUAUUUUUUUCUACUAAUUUUUUAAUCAUUAUUCUUUUUUUUAAAAAAAACAAAUCCUUUAGCCUUUUUCUUCUAUCUAAAAUACAGAUAGAAAGAAAACGACAUAAGAAAAAUGUUUGUUUUCUUUAUUUAUCGUUAUUUUUUACUUUUUUUUUAAGUUCAAACUGUUGACACUAAUUUUAUUUUGUCUAAAAUAUAGAGAAAGAAAGAACCAAAUAUAAAUGAAAUUUUAUUAUUAUUGUUUCUUUAGUAUUACUCUUUUUUUUCUUGUCAUUAUUGUUUUCCUUUUACUUUUUAUUUUAUUACUAUUACUUUUUUCCUUUUUACUUAUUAUUAUAAUUAUUUUUGUUUAUUUUAUAGCGUCGCCACCCUUCUCCUAUUUUUUCUUUCCUUAUUUUAUUUAUUGUUAUUAUGUUUCCUUUUUUUUACUUAUUUACAUUAAUAUCUUAAUAAUUAUUGUUAUAUGUAAAUGUACAAACUCUCUGUAUUUAAUUUGUUUUUAAUGUUUUAAAAUCUUUUCAAUUAAAAAUUCUCUAUGUUUUAAAACAAAUAUUUUUUUAAUCGUUUAACAAAUUUGUUUAUAAAUUUUCAUGCUUUUCAAAAUAUUCAAGAUUUAAUGUAUGAUUUCAUAAUGUUUCCUAAAUCAAUCUUUUUUAAUAACUUAUACCGUUUUCCUUAAACAAAAUCCUACGACAGAAUUUAGAAAAUUUGAGAGUUCGAUUUUCUAGAAUUUUUGAAGUGAAGAAUCAUAUUUUUAGAAGUCCAAGAUGUGAUCCUAAGAAAAAAUGAAUUUAAUCAAUGUUUUAAAAAAAAUCUUUAUUCAAAGACUAACCUAUGAUAGAUUUUGAGAAAUUAUAAUAAUUUUUCAUUUCUUUAAGGUGAAAAUUUUUCUUCAAUAUAUAGUAUAAUUAAUGGAAUAUUAUUUCAUUUAUUUUACGAGAUUACUCUUUCAAAUAUUGGAGUAAUGAGAAGUAAAAUAAGACGUUAGUUUGAAAAUAAAUUUAAAAAUAUUUUCAAUUCAAGAUUUGAAAUUUGGCCACCGUUUUUCUAAAUGGGUGUUGUGGGGUGUUAAUAACUUCUUCAUACACAAAUGACUCCCGAACUUAACUCUAUUUUUUGCAGACCAUUUUUUAAAAAAAUUACUUACUUUAUUUCGGUCCAAUUACACUGUAAAAAAAGAUUGGUGGUGUCUCCUAUUUUCUUUUAAAACUAACUCUUUUAAAGACAUCGACCGCUCCGCGUCGUGUCGGGCAUGUGACAACAUAGUUCAUGUAUAUGUCUACUAUCAAAUCACCAUGUAAGAAUGUUGUUUUAACAUCAAGUUGUUCAAGUUCUAUGUCUUUUUGAACAACUAAUUAAUGAAAAAAAACAUUUUUAUAGAGGUUUGUUUAACAACCGAUGAGAAUAUUUAAUGGUAGUCAAUUUUCUCUCUUUGUGUAAAGCCUUUGGCAACAAGCCUAGCUUUAUAUCUAGGAGGUUGAAGACCGGGAAUUCCUUCUUUAAGUUUAUAAAUCCAUUUGCAAGAUAUGGUCUUAAAAUUUCUAGGUAGCAUUACCAAAGUUCAUGUAUUAUUGAUAGUGAGAGAUUUCAUUUCAUCAUUCAUGACAUUUAUCCAAUGUCUAGAAGAUUCAUAUCAUUUGGGGAAAAACUUACAAAAUCUACAUUACUGUAUCUAGAAGGAGGAACAAUAGUCCUUCUUUGUCUAUCUCUAGCUAAAGAAUAAUGUGAUAAAUCUUCUUGUUCUUGAGAACAUUUUCCUCCUUCUUCCAGAGUAGGUGGUAGAGAGAUACUUGAUACUGUUUCUUUCCCGAUGGAAAUAGGAAGUUCAUUCGAUUCAUAGUUUAGUGGGUGCUCCACCUCAAUCUCAUGUGGUUUAUAAUUUGAAUAAAAUGUUUCAUAGCUUUACCAAGCAUAAACAUAGUAUCUUCCUUAAAACCCACAUAUCUACUAGUUAUACACUUUUUUUUUCUUCCAUAUGAUGCCACAUUCUAAACCCUUUAACUCCCUCUGUAAAACCUAGGAACAUACAUUUUAAAAUUUCCACAAACCUUGAGAAGCAACUGACAUCUCAAUUAUCACCAUGAUCGUCGUUACAACAACACAGGGAAUCAUCAUUCAUUAUUACACUACAAAAAAAUAGGGAUAUCCUGAAAAUGCUUAUCUAGUGCAUCGAGAUAUGUGGUGUCGGGAGACAGAGUAACUCAAGAAGUCGCAAGAUGAGCGUCAGACUCACUCUUCACCGACGUCACGUGUAAAACUUUGGGAGUUGUGUGACUAUUCUUGACGCCAUUAGUAACAUAUCGAGAAUAGUCACACAACUUCCUACGUGCACAUGCAAGGUGUCAGAGAAAAGAAAACAACUAAUUAAUAAUUGUUUUUAUUUCGACGCCAUGCAUGUAUGUAUACAUCAGGAGUUGUGUGACUAUUCCUAACGUGUUACUAAUGGUGCUGAGAAUGAUUCAAAACUUUUGACGUUUUUUGGUGCGUCGGGAGUUCUAUCAUUUAUUGAUCUAAAAGAGGAAGAGAUUGAGAGAGACGAAUGGCAAAUAAAGAAUUGUCUGCUUGCCGCUGUUUAUCCUCAACGUCGCUCGUCGUUGCCUUGCACCACCAUUUGCCUUCUUUCACUGCUCGUUGUCCUCUGCUGCAAUCACUUCAUUUCGUUAAGGUAAUGCUUUUUCUUUUUCUUUUUUUAAUUAUUUUGGUUUAGGUCGGUUCAUCUUUCGGUUGAAGGAGAAGGGGUAACCUAUAAUAAUAAUAACAUUGAUAAUGAUAAAUAUAAUAAUAAAAAUAGAAAGAACAAAAGUAUUCCCUUUUCUCUCUCUAUGUUUUCCAUAGGAGAAGAAAUGUUAAAGGUUAAGACAAAAAGAAACAAUGAUAAUAAUGACAAACAAGAAGAAAGUAAAAAUGAACUUUUCCUCGUUCCCUUUUAUCUCUCCAUGUUUUCAAUCCAACACAUAUACACUCAAUUUAUCUAAGUUUCUAUGGACAAAUAUUAAUAAGAAGAAUUUCGACCAAAGCAAGUUGUUAUAUACUUGUUUAAUAAAAUAAAUUGUUGCGAUUGUCCUAUAUGUGACAGAAAAAAAAUAUCGUUAAUAGAUAAACAAUGACAAUUUUUUUUAAAAAAAGAACGGUCACGAUUGUAAUAUAUUUGACUGAAAAAGUUGUCGUCAAUAGCAAAGUAAUGACAUUUUUAUACAAAAAAAAAAAAAAACUGUCGCGAUUGACAUAUUCAUGACAAUUAAAAAAUGUCACAAUAAAUGAAUUUAUGACAUUUAUUUAACCGUCGUUAAUACACAAAUGAUGAUAGUUAUUUGUUGUCAUAAAAUAAAAUAUGACAGUUAUUUGACGUCGUUGAAUUCUGAUUAACGACAUUUAUUUCAUGUCAUAAAAUAACUUAUUGCGACAGUUUUAAAAACUGUCAUCGAAGGACUUUCCAUGAUUCCUGCUUCUAUGACUGAAAAUAACUAUCGCGAAUUUCGUUUACGACAGUAAAUAACUGUCGUCGUAGAUCACUUUUCUUGCAGUGUAUUCAACAAUUUGUAAGCAGUGUACAGAAAUAAUUGCUACCAGAAAAGCACCUAACGUUCAAAAAAACGUUUAUUACAAUCAAGAUCUAGAAGCUUCUCAAGUUUUGAUUAUUAUAUAUAUAUAUAUUUGAAUAUUCAAUAUUAGAUAUUAAAUUCACCAUUCCUAAUUUAAUUGAAUUAUUUUUUAAUCAAAAUUGCCCAAUUUUUUUUUUAAUUUUCAGUUUUUUAAAAAACACAUAUAUUAACAAAUGUUAUUAAAAAAUAUACUAAACAAAAUUCAACUACAUUCUUACUAUCUCAUCUAAUUCUUACCUCCUCAAAUUUAUAUUUUAUGUACGUAUAUAUAUCUACCUAUUUUUAUUCUACACAUUUCUUUUAUUUUUCAAAGAAUAAUAAUAGUAAUAAGGACAAAGAUUUUAAAUUUUAAAAAAAGUAAAAAGUUUGUAAUAAUAUAAAAUUUUAUAGUAAUCAUUUAAAAAAACACUUCUAUAAAAAGAGGAAAAAUAAAACUUAAUGAGAUAAAAUCUCGUAAAAUCUCAUUUGAUUUAUUUAUACUAUUUAAAAGAAAGAAAAUUAAUUUACUUCACACAAAAUAACCUAAUAUUUUAAUUUGAUUUUAUUUCUAUUGAAUUUUAAUACCAGACAAAAUUUCUUGUACUAAUGAUAUAGAAAAGCUCCUUAAUUUGGUUUUGUUAGUUUUCUAGAUGGGGUAGUUGCAAAUUUAGCAAUUAAAUUCAAACUAAUUAAGUAUAUAACACAAUUUUAAAAAAUUUACAAAUAUAGUAAAAUUUGUCAAAUUCUAUCCAUGAUAUAAGUCUAAUAGACCAUGUUGCAAAUAUUAGUCUAUCACUGAUAUAUCAUAUGAAGUCUAUCAGCGAUACAAGUCUAUCAGUGAUAGUUUUGCUAUAUUUGUAAUUUUUUAAAAAUGUUGUUAUAUUCUUAAUUAUUAUUGCUAAAAUAGUCAUCUAUUGCAAUUUUUCUUUCUAAAUUUAAUUUGCAAUUCAACCAUAAUUUCCAUCCAACCUUAAAUUAUUUAACAAUUUUGUUUUUCUUUCUACCCACGUAAGGAAUAUCUGAUGACUUCAAUUGUUAUUAUUAUUAUUUUUGGAGUAAAUAUAAGCUUCAACUUCUCUCCAUUAUUAUUAUUACUAUUUUAAUAACAUAUUUUGUUAAUAUAUGUAUUUUUAAAAAACAAUCGGAGAUUUAAAAAAAUAUGGAUAAUUUUGGUUAAGAAAUAAUCAAAUUAAAUUAGGAAAUGUGAUAACUAAAAAAAUUGAAUAUUGGAUGUUGAGAUACUUAUUAAAUAAAGUUGAUAUUAAUUUUGAUAUGAAAAAAUAUUUUUAGAAUUGAAAUAUUUAAUAAAUAGGGAUAGUGGCAAAUUUAGCAAUUAGAUUCAAAAUAAUUAAGUAUAUAGUAACAUUUUAAAAUUUUUACAAACAGAGCAAAAUUUGUCAAAUUCUAUCAAUGAUAAAAGUCUAUCAUCGAUAGACCAUGUUGUAAAUAUUGAUCUACACGUCUAUCAGUGAUACAAGUCUAGCAUCGAUAAUUUUGCUAUAUUUGCAAUUUUUUUAACUGCUGCUAUAUCCUUAAUUAUUAUUCCUCAAAUGAUCAUUCAUUACAAUUACCCUAUAUAUAUUUUAAAAAAAGAAGACAUAAAUAUAUAAAUAAUAGAAAAAGAAAGAAGGAACCAAAACUAUCAAUAGUUUCUCAUAAGCCAAAUUUUUAGGUUAGUUUCUAAAAUCACAUUAUUUAGAAAAACAGUUUGAGAAAUAGAAAACACAUUAUUGCCAUUUUAGACGUGGUAGGGUUUAGUUAAAUGUCGCUUCAAAUUUUGGUUGGAUAUACAUGAUCCAUUCAUUUAUCUUCCUUCGUUGAAUGGCUGGGAUUUUUUUGUUCUAUAUUUCUUUUAUUUCCAAAUUUUAAUUCUAUUUAAUUGACUCAACUAUAUUCGUUUUCAGCCUCAUAUAAUUUUCUAUCAAGUACUUUUUCAUUUAUUCAUAUUGUUUAUAUGAGUUUGAACAAAGACAAUACCUACAAGCAAAGGUCAAUAUAUUUUUGUGCCACAUUAGAGAAUUUAGCUAUUUGAAAAGGGUAAUAUGUCAUAUGUGUGCUAUUAAUGGUUCCAUCAAGAGGGUUGGGCUUGGGUAACUGUGUAAACUUUUACGAUGUAGUCUAUAAAUUGAAAUAUUUAAUGGGAUGUAAGAGCAAACAUGUAGUUUUAUUUAAGUUAAUGGCGAAGGUGGUAUAAGAAUGGUUGGAACUUAUUCUAAAAGCUUAAAAGAAAGCAGAUGAUAAAGAUUCUUAUUUAUUCAUGAUGGAUUUAUAUUUCUGAAAGGAUAAUUUGUGAGGGAAGUAGGAAUCAAAUAAUGAAUUAACGUUGUUUCGCUUUAAUGGGUUCACUGUGGUGAAGUAUAACAUUCUGUACUCCUCUCUAUUCUUCGUAACAUUUAAUGGAUUGUCAAAGUUUGAUCAACAAAUCUCCCUAGACAUUUUGUUGUAGAAGUAUAGGUUCGUGGCUAAAUAUUGUUGGUCAUUAUUCUCUUUCACCUUUUUUAGAGGUUGAUUAGGGGUUGAAAUUUUGGGAGAGGAAAAAUAGAGCUUUCAAUUGUGUGAAGAGGGACUUAUUGAAGUUUGGUCCUUUGUAAGGUUUUAGUUUCAUGUUUCUGUUUGAGCAUCAGUCUCAAAGACCUUUUAUAAUUAUUCCCUAACAAUAUCUUAUUUAGUCUAAUUCUCAGUAACAAAAAUUACUCAGCAAAAAUAAUAGAGAUCCAAACUUUUUUCAUUCAAAAUGAGAAUUCAUUAUCCACUCAUAAAAAGUAAUAGGAUGUAUGUCUCUUAUGAUAUUUUUUUUAAGAGAUCCUCUCAACUUCGUUUUUUUUUUAACUUUUAAUAAUCAAACCUAUUUAUGUUUUAGGUCUUUAACGAUGAACAAAUGUUGAAUUAAAUUUAGAAAUAAAGUGUUGGUUGAGUAUAGGGAGGGAGUGUCGCACUUUAUAAUUUCACGUCGAGGAUUAUGGACGAACAAGGUGUCCAUGUAAGAAAUGAAUGAAUUCAAUUUGGAAGUCAUUAGACGGUGUGGGGCGACAUCUAUUAACAAUUGGAAUAUCCCUAAGCUCUUAUAUAGACUUGGUGUAUCAUGGAGAGGCAGUGAACUUGUGUAGUGGUAUAGAAAGAGUUGAUCAAGGAACUAGCAAUCACUACAUAAUUCAAGAAAAUGAAAUGUUGGAUAUGCUUAAUGGAAAGUUUGGAGAAUGAAAUGCCCUUUAAUGGUGUAGAACAAAAGACAACAAACUUAUUUCAAUAUUUAAUGAAUAAAGCAUAUAAUGAGUUAUACCUUGGUUGUUCAUAAUUUUCCUUAUUGAACUUUUUAGUCAACUUGAUAUCAAGGUUCUGAUCAAUAGUUGGAGUAACAACUCUGCAUUCUAAAGAUUGGUUCUGGCUAUCCUGGAGCUAUAGUAGCCUUUGAUUAAAUUUAGCUUUGAAUUAUAAUGAUUUGUUGCUUCAUUCAGGUGUGACGUCGCUUCUUGUACGCAUCUGGAAUUCGUCCCUUGAUAUUCUCAACACAGUUUUCCCGACUUGACUUUCAAUGAUUUUACAUACGUCGAAAGAUUUUUUUUUAUGUAUUUGGAUAUAUAUUCUGACACAUUAAUGUGCCAAGAGACCCACUAAUUCUUGUAGUGUCAUACAAACCAUUCACACUUUCAACUUUAUUUAGGCAUAUUGGAAUUGAAGUUCAUGGUUCCUUUUCCAUCAUCUUUAUUCUCAAAAGCGUGUGAGAGAAAUGGGGCCUUAGAUUUGUUAUGUUUAGCUAGUUUUAGUAAUUCUUUUACCAUAACGUUUCUUCAUGUUUCACUGUUUUUGUUUUUGAAAAAUUAAAAUCAGGAAGGUAAGUUUGAAUGAUAAGUAAUUUUGUCUCUGUUCUUCCACAAACGAAAAAGAAAAGAACAAGUUGGAUGAAUCUAUCUUAUAUUUCUUGUCCCGAAUUUUUUUCUCGGUUCCACAUUCGUAUAGUUUAAUAGUAUUAUCAAAAGCUUACGUUAUAGUGUACAAACAAGUCACGAUAAUCUAGAACUAACAACAAUAUUAUUUAUAUCAUUCAAAUGCUACCCAAAUAUGAUACGUAAUAAUAUCAUUUCACUCUAACCAUUAUGACUUAAAUGACAACCAAUCAUACUACUUGGUAAGUAGUAUAGUGUUGUUUUAAGAUAUUAAGAAAGGGGUAUUUCAAUUUUAGUACAACCGUUCUAGAUUUAGAGAUUCAGAACUCUAACCUCUCUAACUAAUUUAACAAUAUUCAAGGUUAAUUUACAUAUAUACAAUAAAAGACAUAAAUAUUGGCUCGUAUAACAAAAAAAAAAAUCAUGAACCAACCAUUGUAUUUUCAUAAAUUUCAUAUUUGGUUUUAGUGGUUUUGCAUUUUGUGUUGAAUGUCUACGCCUCUUCUUCAUAUUAUUACUUUUCUCUCAUAUAUAUUUAUCAUGUCUUAUUGUUCACGAUUUCAUUUAGAUUCGAUACAAGAUCGUUUAGAUUCGAUACAAGAUCAUUUAGAUUUGGUACAAAAUUGUUUAGAUUUGGUAACACUUUGUUUAGAUUUGGCAAGAUCAGUACCAAGAUCUUGUACCAAUACGAAGAUCGUUUCAUGACGAUCUGAAUGAUCGUGUACUUAAUGAUCAUGUACCAUGUUUUUUUUCAUCUGUUUGUUAAUUUACGUUGUGAGCUUCCGAGGUUUUACUAUUUUAUUAAAAAUUUCCACAUGAUGUAUAUAUUUUUGUGCUUCGUUCUAUUAUUUAAAAACCUCUAUAUCCAAAUUUAAAAUAUUAAAAUAAAGUCAAAUGAAAUUUUUUUAACAAGAUAUACAUAUGAAAGGUAGUGAGAUCAGUAGCACAACUUAAACAUCUCAACUAGAUUGUCGUACUCUUAGUUGUCAGCCGUGGAAGUAUAUCAAAUCUUUCCAAAGAUACAUGGAAGGCUUGUGGCUAGAAAACAUAUCAAACGAUCAAGAGUUUGAGCCGUUAACCUAAGAGGACGAAUAAAUGAUGCUGUUCCAUAUUAGUCCAAUAAGGACACUCCUACAAAAAGUAUUCCACAUUUUCCUCAUGAUUCUUAGCUUUUUUUUUUUUCUUUUCUUUUUGGUUAAGACGCACAAUUAAAUUAAGGAAUCUAGCUUACCAUUUUUUCAUUAUGUCGAUCAAAAUUUUGUACUAAAAAUUUAGCUAUAUAUAUUAUAAUUAAAUUUUUAAAAAUUUAAAUUUAAAUUUAAAAUAAAAUAUAAAGUUAUAUCUCAAAAGUUUUAAAUAAUAUAUAAAAAACAUAUGAAAACUUUCAAUUUCAAAACUAAACACUUCUAAAUAUAACAAAAUAAAUCAAAAUAUUAAUAAACGUAACCAAAAUUUUCUUGUUAUAUCACAAAUAUAAUAUAUAGAGCAUGAUGGACUACGAUAGAUUACAAUUUAUAUGUUGAUAGACUCAUAUACCUAGAUAGUAGUUUAUUGCGACAUUUUACUAUAUUUGUAUUUUCAAUAGUUCUCUCAUUUAAAACAAUAUCUUUCAUUAAAUGUAGAGAAAAUUGUUUAAAUUAGGAGUGUAAAAAUAACUCGAGAAACCUGAUAACCCGACUACCUAACCCAUAUUAUAUGGGUUUGGUUGACUUAGUUUAAGAUGUGGGUCGUUGGAUUGCGUUCAAAAUUUUGAAACUUUUCGGGUUGAGUCAUGGGGCUUGGAGAGGAGAUGUGACAGUUUGGGUCUAAAUGAAACUCCCUAUUUUGAUUUGUUUUAUCGUGACAAUUUCAUCGCUAGAUUUCAAUAUUAAAUUUCAACCAAUUUGAAGUAGAAACACUAUCCAAAUUGUUCUAAGACACUAAUGGAUAUUUCAAACUCUCACACUUCAUAAUUUAGAGCCAAACAAAUAAUUGAUCCUAAAAUAACAAAUAGAAAAACGUAUGAAAAAGAAAAUGACACCAAAAAAAUAUACUCGUUUACUCCCAAAAUUGGUCUACGUUUAGUCUUCUGUAAUUGCUGAUUCUUCUGUAAUGGAGAUCGAAAAGAAUCUCUUAAAACAUACUUAUAAAUCUCUCCUUAAAAAAUAACCCAAACAAAAACUAUUUCGAUAACUUAAAAAAUAACCCAAAGAAUAUCUUCAGCAUUUUAGUUUGCCGGAGCAUCAACAUCUCGAACUCUACAAACAUAUCCAGUCUCGCUAGAGAAAUGUCCAUGGAGCAUCAACAUUUUUUCUUCUUCAGGAGCAGAAAUAAAGCUUCACAAUUUCACUUUUUCAUUUUCUAAAGAUGAGUUCCACCGCCACACAAUUUCUUCCAUUAUUACAAACCUCAAGUUUUACCAAUUAAAUUCCAUCCUUUGGAAAGAAUUCAUCCUAAGGAGUGGAAGCCUAAAUCACCAAAAAAAGCCGAUUAUCUUUAAAAAAAAAAUCCAGCAUCAUGCUUUCAGCUUAUUUUCAUAUAAACCCACCUUCGUCAUACUGUGUAAUUAAAAGCUUGCUUAAGGAUUAAGCAAAAAGAAAAAAAAAUGGAUCUGGCGUUUUGUACUCCACAAUUCCUGACAUCCAACUAUUCCAUAAAAAGAAAAAUAACAUCUAGAUGUAAAGAAAAGAGCAGCCAGAUCUGCUAAUCUUAAGAAUGAGAAAACAGUUUCGAAUUUUGAUAAUUAAAUAUGUAGCAGCUUUUUUAAAUAAUUAAAAAUAUAACAAAAGUUAGAAUUUGGUGACAGACACCAAUUACAAAUGCAAUGGAUCAAUAAGUAGAGACUGAAUAAGAAGUUUAGUCCUACCCUUAGAAUUUGUAUAUCCAUCUUCGUGAGAAUAAAGGAGAGCCAUAACUCUUGUGAGAUUUAAUAGACAAAUUAAAAAUGGCAUUGGAACAUUCAUUGGAUGAAGGCAACAUUCAUUUAUAGUCUUCCAUGCAUCUUCUACUUGCUUAAGUAACUCAGCACAUGUUUCAUCUUCUGAGCGUCCAUGAUUGCUCAUGUAACAUUCAACUGCAGAAACAAUGUGUUCUCUUUCUUUCUCAAACUAAAAAUAAAAAAGAAAAGAAGUUAAUAAUAUAGCAGUUUUAAAUUUUUUGACUUAUUUGACGCAGAGAGAGUGACACAUACCUUGUAGGAGACAACAUCAUCCAUGAGUCUAGAAAUGGUGGUUGAGGCUUUAAGAAUUUUGGGACAGUCAAAAAGCCAUUCAAAUACUUCCUUUGUUGCAAUGUCACCCAUGCAAACAAAUGAAAUAGUUGAAAGUAAUUCAUAACCUGAACUAGCUAAAGCCACUUCCAUGUAUUCUCCAUAUUUUGGUUUAUAAUUUUUGUUUAGCCAUUCAGCUUCUUUGAAAUAGGAUUCAGCUUGUCUUUUCAUCUAUUCACAUAAAAAAAGUUAAUAAACUUGUUAUACAUAUAAGAAACAUAGCAUUAUUAUUAGUGAUAUCAAUAGAAAAAACUAUUAGAAGAAAGACCUUACAGCUUCUUUUGCAAAGCAAGAGCGAUAGGAUAUUCCAUCAUUGACUAUCCCCUUAUCCAUCUCUUCAAAAAGAUCAAGCAGAGUUGUAUAAUGAACUUUCAUGUACUGCGGAAGUAGAUUGACCAUGCUCAUGUCCCAUCUAAAAAAUUAUAGAUCUUAAUUAUAUAGAACCUUCUCAUACAGAUAUAUUUUAACAAUGAUCCGAGGCUAAGAAAGUAACCUUUUGAUUGCUAAGGUGAAAAGUUGGAGUUCUUCGAAUGUUCCAUAAGCAUCAUAUAUAUCAUCCAUAAUUGAGGUCAUAGCAAUCACUUUAGUCAAUAUUUUCCUUCCAAACUUGAAAUAAGGUUCAAAAUAUAUACUCAAUAUCCAAAAGUAACACUCCACAAUUCGAUCCCUCGCAAACGGAAAGUUUGUUGAAACGUUCAAAUCCUUCCACCACCUACAGUAAUUAUUUCCAUCAAGACAGAGGUGAAUUGUAAGAUUUCAAAAAACUAUUGUAGGAUCAAAAUAUGUUGCGAAUGAAGAAAAACGCUAAAAGCUCCGUUUGUUAAUUAUCAUUUCAUUUUUUUUUUUUUUUUUUGAAAAUUAAACGUAUAGGUGCUUAAAAUAUGGAUGUUUGGCUUAUAAAUAGGAUUUUCUUGUAAACACCGUAACACACAAAAGUGUGUGCUAUUUCAAAUUAAUUAAUAAAAGAUAUUAUUAAUCAUUUAAGAAUUUACCAUUUUAAGAAAUAAUUCUAAUAUAAUCUGUGAGAAUAUUGGUUCCACGUAAACUUCUCAAGGAGAAUAAACCAUUGUGAGAGUGAAAAUAGAAUUAUGAAUACAGAUAUCUUUGAAACUAAAUUCCCUCAUGGAUAAACAUGAAUAAAUAACGAUGAAUAAUGAUCAAAGUUAGUUUUGUACCUGCAGAUUUCAGCUAUCUCCUUCUGGUGAAGUUUUUGUAAGAUGUUGAAGUCCAGUUUUGAGAAUGUAAGCAAAGUCUCAUUGUGAGAAGGUUGUUGCUGGUAAAUUUCAAAAUACUCUCUUGCCUUGACUCUUGGAACACAUUUUCUAAUAGGCAAUUUCAAUGCAUUACUAACUUCAGAUGCAAAAUUUGGAUUAAUAUUUGAGUAAAGAUGAAUAUAUGCUUUAAGAUGUGUGGUUGUAAAUUCAAGAGCUUCCUCAAGCAAUGCUUCUCCAUGCCCCCUCAUAUGCGAUGCUUCAUAUAGGCUCAAUAUUCCUCUUUCAUCCUCAACCAAUGACUCUUUAAAUUUUCCAUUGUUGUCCAUGAACUUCAAAAAUAUAUCUGUUUUUAAUUAAAAUUAAGAGAGAAAAAAGAACGCAUGAUCAGUUCUUAAGUUGAAUUCAAUUUAGAAAAUGCUUAAUUUUGGAAGUUUCUAACUCUUUGCAGUUUCACCUUGAAUAAUGUUUAAAACUAAAAAUAAGAAAACAAUUAUAUUUGUGUAUUUAACUUACCACAUGAAAUCCUAUAACCAUGUUGCCUGAGAAGCCGAAAUAGAAGAGCAGAAAUAUGAAGAUCAUCAUCUUGACUAUCGUUGCUACUGAAUAAAAGGGAAUUAUUAUAAGACACAUACAUAUGUUCUAAGAAUUGAUCAAUCUCAUCUUCAAAAUGAUAAGAUACUCCCAGCCGUUGGAUUGAAUCAACCAAAUUUAGCUUUACCAAUGGAUUUUGCACAGAAGCAAUCACCAUCAUCCUUAUUUCUUCUUUCAACUUUUCAAUUCUUUCUUUCAUGCCACCAUCUACUUUCUGAAAUUCAAAAAAAUAAAAAAGAAUCAAAUUUAUUAAAAAUAUAAAAGUAUUAAAUUAAAUUUAAGCACAAACAAUAAAUGGCUCGUAAUUAAAUUAAAAUAUGGCAAUAAAAUAACUUUUACCAAUGCAUCAUCAAAUGUGAAUGAAAGAAAAUGUUCCUUCCAAAUAGUAGGAUGAAAAUUUGCAAGAGAACGCUUAGUAUCAUAAAUAUCAUUGGUUUUCAUAAUGGAAGCAGGAAAAUGAGAAGACAUGACUUUUCAAAGUAGAAAAGAAAGAUAGAAAAGGUAGUUGGGAUAAUCCUCUUGCUAAAUAGAAAGAUGUGUAUGUUAUUGGCUUGAGAGUUUGAACUAUGGGUGAGACACUUCUUGAUUUUAAAGCAGACUUAUUUAUAGGCUAUUUUUCAUAGAUAUUUUGCUUGGUUCAAAUUCUUAUCACUUAAAUUCAAAUUAAAGAAUUGCAUAAGCUACAACACGUUUUUGUUGAUGAGUUUUAUAUUAUUUUGUUUUUAUCUACAAAGAUAUUUUGACAUGUAAUUAAAGAAAUUAAUAUUGGCUUAUUGGAUGUACCAAAUAAUUGCGAUGUGGAUGGAGCCGAUGAUAUCAAUAGUAUCUUAUUGUAUAUCAAUAUUUUUUAGAGAAAAAUACAUUUUUAAUUAGUCCUAGAGUUUUAGACAAUAGGUGCAUUUAGUAUCUGAAGUUUCAAAUUGGCCAUUUUUAUCUUGAGUUUUAAAGAAUAGUUUUAAAAGGUUCAUCUCUUGUCUCUCUCCGUCUUUCUUCCAUUUCCAUUACCAUAUUUUUUUAUAAAAAAUAAACCAAUCACAAUGGAAAGUUCUAGUUGUGACCUCUCCUCCAUCUUCAAUAAUGAAAUUUUGACAUGGUUAAACAAUUGUCUUUAAUUGAGUCUCUCUCACUAUAGUUCUCCCAUGCAUAGACUAUCAGUCAGUUUCAAAGAGAGAACACAUCUGAGGUUUCAUCUUUAAAUGCUUCAAAUCAAGGGAAGAUUGUAAUUUCAUUAGAGAAUUUGAUCAAAUUUGAGAGAUGGGUUUUGGUUGAAUAUGAAGAAAAAUGGGAAUACAAUUAGUUUGUAAAUGAAACUCUACAUCAUUCCAAACCUUACUCCCUCGAUAAAAUGUGAUGAUGAAAAGGUUAAUUCCCACCUCAAACAAAAGAGACACUGAAACUAAAACUAGUGGAUAAUGAAAAAAAAAAAGGAAAUAUGGUGCAUCCAACUGUUGAAGAUUACGUUGGCAAUAUAUAAUUUCUAAGGCAAUACGUGGUUUGGCCAAUGGUCUUGCAUAUAGUCUUAACAUUCCAGUUUUAACCUUAGAAAUUUGUUCUACCAAUUCUAUCCUUAAUUAUGGAAUCUUUUAGAGUUGUCGGUUUUCUUUAUUAAAUAAAUCGAUAUUGAUAAUUGUGCAAUCAUAGUACUUUUCGUUUUUCAUACAAUUAGCUGCAAAGCUUCGUUGAGCAAAAGUUAUUAUUCGUACGACAAAUGAGUUCAUAGUAUUUUGCUCAUGUUCAUUGUGCUCCGCUGAAAGUUCAACUUUUGUUUGCAAGAGCAUAUUGGUACAGGGGAACCCUAAACCUAUGUCAUCAAGGAGGCCUUAGGGGAGCUUAAGACUUACAAUAAUUCUACAAAAAAAAGAAAGUUAUUAUUAUUAAUUUAAACAAUAUUAACUUUAGCUUGUUACCUAAAAUAUUUAGAAUUUCAAUGUAAGUACAAUUUUGUUUAAAUUUUUUUUUCACGAUUCUAACUUUUUAUUAACUUUACCAUAAAUAAAUAUUACAACAAUUAUUGUUAAUUUGAUUUAAUUAACUUUAACUUUUUACCUGAAAUAUUUACAAUUCAAAUAUAAGUACCAAAACAUCAUUGUUUUAAAUAAAAAAUAAACGACCGGGAAUUGAUCCCUCACCCCGAUUUCAGCUUCCAAAAAUGAAAACUAACUUGUUGCAUAAACAACGCCGAUGCGACGCUGCAUUUGAGUGUUUUGGCACUCUGAAGGCUGAGCAUGAACGUGCUUUUGUCAAUAUAGUGACGCUAUACAAUACUUAUGAAUAUGAUCCAAGCCGCAUAGGAUUCAAAAACUCCCAUUUCAGCCGUUCCAACCUCAAUUUCUAUUUAUUUUCUCAUAUGUUUUAGUUUGUUUAUGAUUUCAAACUUUUACUCAUUGAUGGACAUGUCGAUAAUGGGAUAAGGUAUCAUCUUCUAGCUUUGGUUUCAAGGAAUUUUUCUUUAUUUUAAUUGUCAUGGUCCACUCCAAAACACUAUGUUCAAUAAAGUGGAGACGUGACUGUCUAGACAUUUUAUGCGAGAUUACCCACGAAGCAACACGUAGAACGCCUAGUAAUCGAGAAUAAAGAAAACCAUAAAAUUUUAGUGCGGAAUGUAGACUUAGAUAAAAUAUGGAAAGUUCAUUGAUAUUAUAAGUAGUAAAGGUACAUUUAGUACUCUAAAUAACAAUCUUUACAAAACCAUUAAACAUAACUUAAAACAACACUUGGACUCUUCUCGCCUAGUUGCUAUAUAUGUUAUGCGAGUUGAUAGUGGCCAUUACCAAAAUGAUGUGUUCUCAAAAUUCACAGUAGGUGAUCAUAGUUGCAAGUUCAACGUUGGAUAUUCUUCGCUACCUAAGGAAAACUAAAACAAAACGUUUGAAAGGUUAGAACAAAACGUGGAUCUUUUAUCAACACCUUCAAUAAACCAAGUUUAUCUUAACACAUUACAGAUAUUUUACCAAAUCCAGCGAUAUAAAAUAAUAUGUAACCAAUCAUUAUAUGUAUAAGUUUGAAACAAUUAUUCAAGGCAUUAGGCGUCUUUCACCAUUUCAGUUUUAUCAACAAUUCGUAAAUAAUAGAAACAAUCACUUCCUUUCAUUAUUCAUCAAAUUGCAUAGUAUGUGUUUCGCAUAGCAUAGUCUUUUACGCUUAAUUAUUAUGCUAGUUCAAUUACAUUUUCGAAGCAUUUCCUCAGCUCAAUCGUUCCUCACAUUCUUUUGCCAAGUUGCAACUAUAUGGAGUAAUCUCAACGCAUUUAGCAAGUUUCAUCAAAUCUAUUAUACAAUACACCUCUUUCCAUGCUAGAUCACUCAGCAAACAAAAGACAUCCAGAUCACACAGCUAGUAUGAAGCAUCCUCUUAAGAUCACACAACAUGAAUAAAACAUUUUAUUUCAGUACACACAGCAAAGAUAGAACAUCUUAUCCCAGAUCACACAGUAAGAAUAAGACAUCUCAUCGCAUAUGGUACAAAAGAUCAUUUGAAUUCAUCAUUUUAAGUUAUAACAAGUCUUAUAAAUUUUUUAAAUACUCAUUAAUCUGUUUCAUGACAAGUCUAAUUCAUUUGUAAAAUCAUGUGUAAUUUAAGAAUUGAAAAUCAUGGGAGAAGUCAUAUUGUUCAUAACCUUGAUAGAAAUAUAGUAAUGAUUUCAUUACAUUGAGAAAUCGUUUUAGUUUUAUAAUACAUUCGUGUAAGAACCACUCACAUUCACAAUAGCUAGUUGCUUCCCACGAGCUCCCUUGCAUUUUUCAAUCGAGUUCAGACUUGAUUAGAAUAAGACCUUGGAAAUUCUUUCUAAUUUCUUUUAAGUAAGUUCAAAGUAGAAGCAGCUUCAGAAGGAUCAAAAUUCACCUAUUUAUUGACUUUUUUGAUGAAGUUUUCUAUGUCAGAAUGAUUACAUCUACUAGUGGUGAGAAUUGGUUUAGUGUUAAGAUGUCACAUGUCUCUGUCAAAUCUUUAUAUUGGAUUUAGAUUGAACAACAAGAUCAAAUCAGAGACCGAAUUUUCUACACGAGGAUGAUAGCAUUACUUCCCAAUGAAGUAAGCUUAUAUCACAACAAGGAUCCCCAUGUAGUCUUUUCUCGUUGCAUCACAUAGGUUAUCUCCGCCGCAUUGAGUCUUAGUGUGUAAAGGCAGAUUGUGAUCAGGGUCUCAUGUUAAUUAUCUUUAUGAGAAUUUUAAAAAAGUAAAAUAUUUUAUUUUACUUUUAAGUUGUUACUUUAGUUAAACUCUAUAGUUGUUACUUUGGUCAGACAAGUCUGUGGCAAGAGAUUGAGAACUUUCAUCGUGUUACUGAGGGGUAGUAGCAGCUAGGAUUUGGCGAGAAGGGCUUGGUGUUUUAGAUUUUUGGGGAGUUGGAGUUUAGAUUUGUAAGGAGGACGAUUGUGUUCUUAAGUGGGUGGUGGUCGUCGUUUUUUAGGGCAAAGCGAGAUUGUGGUUUUGGUGGUUUGGACAACAAGUUAAUGACUGCAAAAGGAAGAGGGUCCUUAGACUCCUUGGCUCUAAGUUUCUUUUCUCUCUUCUUGGAUCCAAAUGUCUCAUCCUCACCUUUCCUCUAUGAUAACUUGUCGAAAUAAAAGUUAUUAUAGCAUUUUAUGUAAAUAAUGAAGUCUUACUGCAUAAGAUUUGAACCAAACGCAAGGAAAAGUAGAAGACUCGAUUAAUUUGUGUAUCACAUACUGCAAAAAAAAUUAAUCCCUAUUUUAUCGCAUUCAACUUAUCUUAUUGCAGGAUUUUAGGCCAAAAGAAGUAUAGUCCAAUGAUAGAACGUCAUGCGAGGAGAUACCCGCAACUAGCAAGGUGAUGAUCACAAUAAGCUAGGCGAUCUGAAGCACUAGCUGACAAAAUUUGUUGGUGCGAAUUUCAGAAAAAGGACAAAAGGAUGUCUGCACAGCGUCGAUGCUACUUUAUCAAAAUAAUUAAUUAGACAUGGAAUAUCCUGUCACAUCACUCCACGUCUAUAAAUAAAGACGUUUACUUUAGAAUCAAGUGUGUAAAAUUGGAUCUCGGAAAGCAAGCAAAUUUUUCCUUUCAUCCUUUCUGUCUUAAAACUUUAGGUGAGAGCCUAGAAUAAGAGAGAGAGAGAUUUUUCCUACCAUUUUCCCUCCUCACAAUAGACAAAAUUCAAAACCAAAAAAUAUGAGAAAUCAUAUUUUAAGGCUCGAUUCAUUUGUUUGUAUUCCAUUUUGUAUUUCUUUUGUAUUAAGUUGUAAUAUUAACUCUAUAGCCAAGAAUCCUAAAGUUUUAUUUAUGAUAUUAAUAUAUUUCUUCUACCAUUCUCUAAUUUCUCUUAUGCUAUUCACUUUGAAUGCAUUCAAUUAGUUUAUGAACAAUGUAAUUUGUGAUUAAUACUAUAGAAUCUUAUUGUAUAUUUGGUAAGUUCUAUUUAGCUAAACGCGGACAUAAAAGCUUUGUUUUAUUCGAGAGAAAAGACAAUCGCACUGACAGUAAUCACCUGACAAGUGAAAAUCCAUAUUUAACUAAACGAACGAUAAAGAGAUCGUAGCAAUGCAAUCUCAUCACCAAAUUAAUCCUUUGCCUAAUUUGCCAAAAUGUUCACAUGUGUGGCAAAAGCACCGAAAGGAUACUCGCCUUAAUUUAGGAUAAAUUUCUUGUAAUGCAUACACACUAAUUAGAUACAAAUCAUAACUUAACUUUACGUAUUUGGACCCCGAGAGGUGAGCAAGUAUGACGAAAGCAUUGAGACAACGCUCGCCUUAAUUUUGAAGUUAAUAAAUGCUUUGUAUUACCUCGAAUUAUUAAUGCACAAUACACUGCGAUUGGAUAGUUAAAUAUUCUUUCAUUCCAUUCUUGUUACAUGAGUUCCCAAUCCAUUACACUUCAUUGCCAUGUUCGAUCCUCUUGCACCGCCAAUUACACCUUAGUGUAUAUAGUUAGGACAAACAUAUUGUGCAUACUUACACUGUAUAGAGUAUAUCACAUAGGAUUAAUUGCACAAUAGAUUCAAUUAGAACACUAAUUCCUUGAGUUUGAUCCUAGGCUUACCAGGAAACCUCUCUUCGCUUACACUUGGACGAUUGAGAGAAAAACUUAUACUGUAUGCAUAUCAUUUUGAAGUUACCAACGCAUAGGUAGGACAUACAUCUUUUAUUGCAUCAUUCUAUCCUAGUUAUCUAUUAAGUCAUUCACUUAGUGUCUAACAUGACUUAUCUAUGUAUGAAUGUUUCUAUGACAAUUACUUAAUGAGGACUCUGUAGUCAUGCGAUGAAGACGUACAUACUGAUUAAUUCACAUACAAUGAUGGUUACCAAUGACUUAUCGAAUAAAGACACUAACAGAUAACCUACCUUGCAUACUCAAAAUCCUGACAGAAAUACCAACCAAUGUGGUCAACCAAAAAAUAGUUUAUUGUUUUCUAAAGAUAAAAUAAUGAAUGUCAAAUCGAUAUCAAAAUAAAUUGUAGGCUACGUGUUUGUUUCAUUGAUAACUAUUAUGACCACCAUCUUUAGAUAUGUGUUCUUGCAUUUUCCUUAGAUUUAAUUUCAAUUAGUUCUCAUUCAACAAAGCUUCUCAUUGGAUAUUGUGCUACGAGUGAAUUUUUAAGAAAAAUCAAUUAGUUCUCUACAGAUCGACCUAUUACUACUCUAAUACUAUGAAAUUGGUAUAAGAACGAAACUAUUAUUUGGUUUGAUCAAAAGUCCUGACAACUUUUGGUCAAAUCACAUACAUAUAUAUACAUAUAUCAGUCGAAGCACCAUAGUGCUAGUAUUUCAAAUAUUGAGGCACACAAUCUUUUUCGGGUAACAGUUUUUUUUAUUUUUUAUGGUUGAUGAUCUCGAACUCCGUUUUAGCCUGGUUUUCAGUCCAGUGAUUCAUUCUAGCCUUUAAGAUUCUAAUACCUAUAAAAUCAUAAAAUAAACAUAUAAGAAGCAUAGAACAAACAAAAGUUAAGUGAAAUAAUGAUAGGUUAUUUUAGUAACUACGAAUCAUAUGGAUAUUUUUGUUCUUCUUUUGCCCUUUUUAAAGUACCAUUUUGAAGUGGGGAUCAUUGUUAAAUGAUACAUGAUACAUAACCCGCAUGUGAUACUAGAAUUCAAACUUUUAAAUUUGUAAAAUUGCAUAUAUUACUUGGGUUUUAUAAGUGGUACCAUUAGUUAUUUUGACGAGACCUUACACCCAAUAAGCCAACACAAUCGUUUUGUCCUUUUAGAUGAUGAGCACUUGUUUUCUUUUCUUUCUUUUUUUUCUUCCAGUGGGAUCAUUGGUAGCUACAUUGGACAUUGGACCCAAUUUUUUUCUUGAGGAACAUACAUACAAUCACCUUUACUUUUCGUUGUUCAUCCAUAGGUGGUAUAGAUGGCGAAAAUCGAAACUAAAAUUAUUUGACAUGACAUUGAAGUUUAUGAAAAGGAUAUUUUUAAUUGUCACACCUCACCUAAAUUAUGGUACUAAAUCAUAUCAUAUCAUAAUACCCUAAGAAGUGGCUAUAUAUACUUAGAAAAUCAUUUUUGGUCUAUUUUGGCCCCUCAACCAAAUUUAAUUUACAAUAUUGUGUUUUGUUUUAUGAUGCAAGUUUUAAUUGUAUAUAUACUUAAUAAUUUAAAAUUCAUAUAUUCAUGGACUAUUUAAACAAAAUGUAUUAACUAUGUAAUUUUAGAAUCAAUAUAUGAUGUAUUAGCAUCACAAAUAAACUAUUUGUUUUGUGUUUUCAAAUUCUCACCUCCAUAUUAUUUAAGAGAUAAAAGAGUUUUGGUCUUUACUUAUUUUAACAAUUUAAAUUCUAAUUCAUAUUUAUUGAUGAAGAAUAAUAUAAUUUAUUAUUUCAACUAUUUGUUGUACUAGAAAAAUGAAUGUAAUCUCGAAAAGAUCCAUUAUUACAUACAUUUUGUCUUCCUUAUAGUUCUAUUUGAUGCAUUUAUUAAGAAACUUAGUGUUAAACAAAUAAUUUUGUUUGGAAAGAAUAAAAGUAGAAAAAAUAAGAAGAAAAAGAAUAAGCAAAUUAAGAGCCAAAUACAGGGUCAUUUUAGUAAUAAAAUAUGUUUAAGAAAAUAUCUUUAAAAAAAUAUCUUCCCCUUAGAGAGGCUGAAAUGAAAGUGUCAAAUUCAAUACCACGCUAUAGAUCAAACUCAAAUAAACAUUCCACAUGGACUUGUUUGGAACGAGUUUAAAAAAGAAAAAAUAUUUAAAAAAGUGUAUUCUCCUCUCUCUCACCUUUCUUUUAACGAUACAUUAUUUCCAAUAUGAAAUAUACUGGUUGUUAACCGGAGUAAUUUAACUUCGUUUGUGAUUUACCCUACUUUCUUUGAUAUGUAUUUUGAGGUAAAUCUGAUUUCAAAUUAUUAUGUUUUAUUAUUUUACGUUGGUUUUUAUUUAAUUUACUUUGUAUUAGUUUUGUACAUCAGUGUUGUAAUGUUCUUAUAUUAUAUGUGCUACUCGAUUAAUAUAGUUAAUCAAGUAGUUUGGCCCUCCAACUAUUUUACCCUUUCAUUUUCUUUUUCAUUCUCUUAGGGUGUGUUUGGAUUGAUUUUUAAAGUGUUUAAUUUUAAAAUAAUUUAUUUUAAGAUAAAUUGAGGUGUUUGGCACCGGUUUAAAAUAAUUUUUAGAAAAAUUAGAUUAUGAAAUAAAUCAUUAUACAGAAAAAGUAUGCAACCAAAUUUUAGAAUAAAUAUUUAUUUGGUGUUUAAUGAGAAAUCCCUUCCAAAUGUAUUUUUUCUUCCUCUAUUUUUUAUGUUCAUUUUUACUAUCUAUUUUUCACUCUGUCGUUUUUUUUUUUUUUUUUGUUAAUUUUCAAAUAGGUUGAAUAUUCUUUCAAUGUGUGUUCAUAUACAUUUAAAUAUAGGGAUUUGUAAAUGUUUCUUUCUCAGCCAAAUCUACUUCGCCAUAACAUAUGUGAAAGAAAUCAUGAGUAUGUCAAUGAAGAACGUUUUGUUCGUUAAAUAAAGAUGAAUUAAGAACGUGAUCAAAUUGUACAUCUUUUUGUCCAAUUGAUAUUAUAUUGUCUCGAAAAAAAUAUUUAUCUUAUUUAUAUUUUGCUGUUGGGAAUCAAAUAUUUUUUUGUGCUUAUGUAUUUACCUUUCAAGUUAUUUGUCCUUCUAAAAUUGAAUUGUCCAAGAAAAUUAAUAAAGAAAAAUAAAAUUAAUGUUUUAAAUAACUAAAAGAUUAAUAAUUUUAAAACAACGUGUAAUUAAAUUUUAAAUAUAUUUCUUAAAAAAAUUAAAAUAUGUGUAUUUAUUUAUGAAAUUAGUUCAUAAUGUUUAAUAAUCUUUUAUGGUAAUUUGGCUCAAGUAUAAACAUUUGUUAGUAUAGAACAAAUUAAACACAAUUUUAUAUAUAAAUAUUUAUAAAGAUGUCAAACCAUACAUAAGCGUUUAGAUUUUAAACUUAUUUUGCAAAAAAAUUUUUUUUAAAAUGUAUUGUUAAAUAAAUGUUUUUUUUAGGAAAUCUAAACAAACCCUAAGUAAAAUCUAAAAUUUAUUUUCAAAGAAACGGUUGAAAAUAAAUAUAAAAGUCUGUUUUACAGAGAAUGUGAGAGCAUAAAUUUGGAAAUAAGGUAUUAAAAGAAGAUAAAGUUAUAUUUCAUGUUUGUUUAUAUGUGUUUGGUGACGCGUUUAGAAAUUUGAUUCUAAGUUUUAUAGUGUUUAAAUGUUUGUAGGUUUAUAAAUCAUAAAACUAGUCUUAAUUAUUAAUUAUUUAGUAUGUUUUUGUUGACGACAAGUUAUUAUUAAUUUGAGUGUAAUUUAUGUUUAAAAAUAAUUGAUUAAAUUGAAAAAUAUAAUCACUAAAUAAGAUAAGGUUAGAGUUUAGUUUAUAGUUUGACAAAAUCUUAUAUAUAGCUCUUUUUAAUUUGAAAGCCUUCAACAAAUAGUUUCUACAAACAAGAAUAUUGUCUAUGAUUUCUAUCACACCAAAAAACUAAGUUCUAAUUAUAAGUCUAAGAUAAAAACUAAGUUCUAAUUAUAAGUCUAAGAUAAAGAAAUUUUAUCUUUUUAAAACGUGGUACUAAAUUUGUAAUUUAACUUAAAAAUUUAUAAUAUAUUAUAUUAAAAAACAAGAAUUGAAUUUAUAACAUCACAUAAUUGUAUUUUUAAAUGUUUGUAUACGUAUUUUUCAACUUUUUAAAAUGUAAAACAUAAAAUUUAAAUCAAAAUGUUAAGAAGUUUUCAAAUUUUGUUUAAAGAAUCCAAAAAUUGUUUAAUAGAAUCCUGAUUGGUUGUGGAACUACGUCUUAAAAUUUUGCACUUGUUUGUGGCCAUAACUUAGUAUUAUUACUUCCAAUUAUCAGUUAUCAAACUCCAUGAAAUUGGGAGAUUCGAAACUUCUGACGCAAAACGAAUAGAAUUAUGCAUCGCCACAAACUUUGUUAACAAACUCUUUUGAAGGGCACAAUUCAGUUUCAGUCUGUCUUAAACCCAACCACUGUAAAUGUGAGAUUUUAAACUAUUAGUCCAGCAAGUCAUGAAGGGCUAGAGUUUUUGUGGCUAUAACUUGUGCACAUGUAUAUAAGGAUAUGGCAGCAUCAAUCUACAGUGUAGAGUAGUACGUAAAUAUAUAUAUGGUUGCUACUCAUGUGAUGUGCAGUCUGACGCCUUUCCCUCUUUUCUUUGUUUUCUCAUAUGGACCUUUUAGUCGUUCAAUAAUUUCGUGAUGGAAUUAAGAUUUUCAUAUAAAGAUACUAUCUCGACAAUAAUAUUUUGCUAUGUGUUGCAACGUUGUGAUCACAACGUGGAGCAGAUGCUAACCUCCCACGUCCCACCCUAUAGGGUGUGUUUCGAGGUAAAAGGUUUGGAUUUUCCACCAAUCAAUUUAGGGUGUUGUUGGUCACUUGCUUUCAAUUAAAACUAGUCUUAUUUAAUUGCCAAAGAUAGGUUUGGGGUCCUUGAGUGUGGGAAAAGGUGACAAUAUCUUUUCAAAAUGUUCUACUCUAUUGUCUAAUAUUAUAAUAAAAAAAAUUGUUGACCAGCAAGAAAUGAGACUUCCAAAUUUAUAAAUAGAUUCUACAAAUUUUUAAUAUAGGAGUGGAGAUUUGACAUCUUGUCCACAGAUACAUAUAGGUUCAGUUGAGCUAAGUUCAUAUUUUACAAUUUCUACAAAUUUUAAAAACUCUAAAUUACAAACUUUUAAUUCAACUCAUUAAACUUGAACACAGUAACUAAUUUAAUUUUGAUAAAGUGACUUAUUUCAAUCUAAUUAUAAUUAUAACACUUAACAUUUAAAAAAGUAAUAUUAUAUUAUUGAUCUAUAGAUAGUAAUAUUCGUAAAAAAAAAAAGUAAAGCUUUAAGAAUAUUAUUGAUGAAUAUCGUGUUUUUUUAGACUCAAACGAGACUUUGAUUUUCGUGCUUCGUAGGAAAUAAUUUUUUCUUCAUGGGCAAUGCUCAUAAAGAUAUAAUUUUUUUAUGGGACUUUGUCACGAACUUAUCCUAAACCCAAAAUUAUAAUUUUUUGUCUUGAUGGGCAAUGCUCAUCAAGAUAUCAUUUUUCUUGAUGGCUCUUGGCCAUGAUUUUUUUUUUUUUUUUUUGUCCAUCAAGAAAUCCUAAACCCAUCAAGAAAGUCAAAAAAAUAUAUUAAUUUUUUUUCAAUGAUGAUCAUUGCAAACCAAGAAAAUUCAUUCCUUGACAAACCUCGUCCAUCAAGAAAACCUAUCUAACUUGAUCGACAUUACCAGUUAACUAAUAUAUUAUCUUUGAUGUUUAAUGUCCAUCGAGAAAUAGUUUUAUUAUACAUCGAUGACUAUUUUUUUGGGGUUUGUGAACCAUCAACAAAACUAAAAAAACUUUAGCAUCAAGAAAAUAAAAAAUCUAAAGCUAACAGCGACCAUCGGUUCAUAUAAACCUAUUGCAGUCAAAUCUUUCCAAUAAUAGGCAUAAACAUAACAUACAAAAUCAUCCAACAAUGUCCACAAUUACAUACUCAGUUCAAUAUGUAAAUCUACACAAUUUCAGCCAAAUCAUCACAUUAGGCCAUCAAUGCAUUUUAAUUUUGUGCAUGACAAAUAAUCAAUCGAUAUAGUACAAUUCAACCUUAAUUUGAGGAUACGCUAGUAGAAAUAUCUUACCUUAAGAUUAGCUAAAGUUCCCUAAUUGAAAAUAACCUUCUAAAUGAAUCGAUCCUAAACAUAAGGAAAAUAAUUAAAAAUUUUACUUAAUAAAAUUAUUGAUUAUGCGCAAACAGCAAUCCAUGAUAGACAUACUUUUCACAGUAAGCAUAGACAAUUAGCCUAAUCCAAUAGCUACUCUUCACAGUUUAAUAGUAAGCUUAGGCUAUAUAGGUAAUUCACAAUCACAAACAUAUCACAUGUCAUGCAUAUAGUUGAAUCAUCAUUAUCACACGAUAAUUCAACCAUCAAUUGGAGAUCUAGUAGUAGAACUCUUAUCAUAGGUUAGGCUAAGUUCCUUGCUGCAAACAAAACUACAAUUUCACUUAUGCAUUCAUCUGUUUUUGUUGUCUUAUGCAAAACUCAAUUGUAAAUGCAUCAUUCUAGGUUCUCAUUUUGCAACUAAUGAUGGGCAACUAGGUUGGAGUUAUGCAAUAAAAGGUGCACACUCUUCCUAUUCGUUGCUUCAUACACAAUGAUUCAGAUUAGUACAAGUUUUCUUUAUGUUUGCCCAAGUGUAAGUGAAGCGAGAGGUUUUUUGGGUAUGUUAGGAUCGAACGCAUAGAAUUUCUAUCAAAACUUACUUAUAACGGUAUAAGUAUAAAACUAUACUAAUCUACUUAUUUACACAUAAGAUUUUGUAGAGAGAAAUGAAAUGGAAUGAUUAUGGAAUGCAAACUAACUUGCUUUAAGAGAGGUGAAGAAAAGUCUUAGUAUUCUAGGUUAUCUAAGCUAUGUGGCAUGCCCUUAAUGCGAUAUAGAUCACUUGACCAUCUUAUAUUUAAGGUGAGGAACCUUUUGGCACCUAAACACCACACUGUUCUCCUUUCGAGACACAAAUGAUUCGAGUCAAAAUGCCAGGAUGAAGUUUAAUUUGUUUUCAAACUCCCUUCUGUAUGUGUUUAAUCAUGUCCUUGCUACUUACUCUCUUCAGCAGCUGGCGACAAACCCUGACCAAACGAUUGAGUCAAGCUCAGGUAAACACAAUGAGACUUAGCUUAUAACCACAUAAUCCUUAUCAAGGACAAAAACAUAAACUUAAACUACUUAGAAUGUACAUCAACAAGAUGGGAAGUAAAUAAAUGAAAGAGAGACAAUGAAUAAAAAUGCAUUGUAUUGAUAAUGUAGGUCUCUCGGUCAUGAAGAUAAAAAUAUUCAUACAAUUCAUCAUAAAGUUCAAAAAUUAAAAGAAAAGAUGUGUCGAGUCGCAUAAUCCAUUAUCAUGGAUUCCUUGGCUCUUUUACAAGUUAGGGAAAAUGGUGAGGAAACUUCUUUCUCUCUAAUCUCUUUCUAAGCUCUCACUCAGAUGCUAAUCAGAUAAAGGGUGGAGGAAGAAAUACUAUACUACAAAUGGUGAAUGAUUCUAAAACUUGUCCUUCAUUGGCUUUCUUAAGGGAUGACCUCAUUUGUUGAUUUCUUCAUGGUGGAGUUGGGCUUCUUUUAGAGGCAUACUUUUAAGCGGAAAAUUAAAUGCUCAUGUUGCACUUCCAUCCUUGCCUACGCUGCACAAAUGUCCUUGCCUAUAAAUGGCAGCGCAAAAAGUAGCAGUUUCAUGUCACAUCAGCCCUAACUACUACUCUUGUUUUCUAGCAAAUCAUCUCGCCUUGCAACUCGUGAAUUGUCAAGCUUUUUAUCAUGGAGUUCAUGCGUGCGAUCCUCAUUUCAUUUUUUCUUUUUAUCAUCCUGUGUGUAAAAACAUCUGAAAGCAUAGUUAAUCAAGUGAGAUGACUUAUAUAAAGUGCAUUCUCUUGACAUUAUAAUUUUGCACUAAAAGUUAUGCGUUUUGAUCAUUUAUCUUGCAAUUUGACUCCAUUGAUCUACGUAAAAGGCCACAAUAACUUGUAUUUCUACAAGUUAUCAUACAUAAAAAAAAUUAAAUUAAUAGUUUUUGCCAAUAAAUUACUAAUUUAAUUACGUUAGCUUACCAAACAUACCCAAGUGGAGGUUAAAAAAUCCUUUAUCUAAAUCUUGAUGAGAAAAUUCACCAUACAAAUCCUCAAACUUUCCAAAGUCAUGCAACCAAAAUCAAUUCCAAUAAUAAACUUAUUUAGAGUCUCAACUAACCUUUAAGAGGUAUUAAAAUCCCACAAAAAGAACUGAUAACACUCACCUAAUUCACCAAUCUUAACCAAAAUCGGUGAGCGACAGCAAUAGAGAGCAGCGUCGAUAGACAACAAACAAUUAUCUAUGACGAGGUUGGAUGAAGAAGAAAAUGACGUCGAAGAAUAAUGUAGAGGAAAUGAGGGAGAGAGAGUCGGUGACUGGGGUACUUUGAGGAAGAAGAUGAAUAGGUUUUGUCAUGUCAUACACAACAAAUGCACAAGCCCUAAUUUAUAACGAAAUAGUAAUGAAAUUAAUAGUACUUUAAUAUUAUUUAAUUCAUUUUCUUUAAAUAAACAUAUAUAAUAAAUAUAUCUAAAUCCCUCCUCUCUUAAUUAAUUUUAUCAUCUUUUCCCACCAACUAGUUCCAAUUUAUAACUAGGUUAAUUUACACAAAUAUAAAAAAACUUCAAAUAUUUAUGACCUGUCUAACAAAAUCAAAAAGUCCAUGAAGUUGGUAGAAAUUUUUCAUAAAUUUCAUAUUUGCCCUUGAUAUUGUGGAUGAUUUUUCUCACUUAUCUUUCUUCUUCUUUCAUUCUUUCUUCAUCUUCUCUUUAUUUCUUACAUGCCGUCUUCUAGAAUAUCAAGAUUAUUUAAGUAUCACUUUGAUAUGAUUUAAAUGAUUGCUUACUUAAUCAACACGAUUAUUUAGCAUGGUUAACAUAUUUGAAGCAUUUUUUCCAUCAUUAAACAGCACUACACGAUCUGUGUAUCAUUUUCUACACGAUUGUGUAUCAUUUCCUACAAGAUUGUGUAUCAUUUCCUACACGAUCACAUAUCAUGAUUGUUUAGAAGAAGAAUUACACGAAGCAUUUUUCUCAUCAUUAAAAAGAAUUACACGAUCGUGUAUCAUUUUCUAUACUAUCACAUAUCAUGAUCAUUUAGAAAAAGAGAAUUAGAUAUCAUGACUAUUCGCGUGUUGAUUGAAAUAUUUUUUGUAUUUUUCAUUGUGGGUCUGUGGACUUUUUUCAUUUUUCAAAAUUGUUCUAUAAAAUGUAUAUAUUUUGUCAGUUUGUUGUAAUUUUAAAAAAACCCUUUAUAACUAUCAAUUUUUCACUUCUUAAUUAUAUAACCAAAACUUUAUAAUUAAUAACAUUCUUCAUCAAAUUUCAGAAUCUUUAAUUAAAUAUACAUACUCAUAUAAAUAUAUACUUAAUUAACCCAACACAUUGUCCCAAAUAAAUUCUUUAGCUUUCAAUUCCAAUUAAUCUAACACCCACAAUAAUCUAAUAAUCUAAUCAUGAAUUGUUCUAGAUAACUAAGCAACAAAAUUAUCUUAAAUUUUUGGAGUGUUACACAUAUACUAUUCAAAUCUAUAAAGAGAGAAAAUAUUUACCUAGAGAGAUGAGGUAUUUGACAAUCUUAAUUCCAUCAUGGAUUGACAUGAUAGUUGAUAGUUAAAGUGGUGUCUCAUGUGGAUCAACCAAUAUUGUUGUGGUAAAGUAUGAGUUAAUUUUUACGUAGGUGCAAAACCUUCCAAAAGAAAAUUGUAAUUUGUGUUGUAAAGCUAGGUGAAAAUCGAAUUGAAGCUUUGUUUACAAAAUUCAAAUUUGAUUGAAAUUGAAAUUCUUUCAAAAUGUUGGGAUUAAAGCUAAAAUAAAAAUCAUUAAUGAAAAAUCAAAAUUCAUAUUGUUUUUGGAAAUGAAAAUGAUUUAAAUUUCAUUUUAAUCCAAUUGAAUUUAUUGAGUGAAUUCAAAUAAAGACAAAUUUGAAAUAUUUUGGAACUUGAGGGAAAUUUUAAUUCAUUGAAAGUUUUAAACUAAAAAAUCAAUAAUAAUAAUAAUAAUAAUAGGAAAUUCAUGAAAAUUCAAAUUUAAAUAAAUUAUUUUUAAAAUUAUCAAAAAUCAAUCCAAACACAAAUGUGAGAGUUGUUGAAAAACGAAAGUGGAGGGGAAGUUGAGUUUUUUUGUGUGAAUUCAAGAAAAAGAGAGGAGGGGGAAGGAAGAAUUAAGUUGGAAGAAGAAGAGGGGAGGUUUUGGGAAAUGGGUAGAGAGUGAACAAAAAGAAGAAUAUAAUAUAAAAGAUAAAAAUAAUAAUAACAAAUAAUAAAACAAAAAAAGAAGAAGAAUUAAAAUAAUAAUAAAGAACAUUUUUAAAUAUAGUAAAAUAAAUUAAAAUAUUUAUUAGCUAUAACAAAAUUUUGGGUUCUAUUAAUGAUAGUCUUCUAUCAGUAUAACAUAUAAUGACAAUCAGUGAUAGAAUUUGCUAUAGGUUGUAAAUAUUUUGUAUUUCUAAAUUUUUUUUAUAAUAAUAACUAAAGUAAAUAAAUAAUAAAUUUAAAAAGAAAUUGUAAUAAAUAGAACCUUACAUCAAAUAAUUACACUUCAUACAAAAAUCAAGUUUAAUAAAUUUUGUAUUAAUGGUUUUGUUUUAGGAGAAUUUUCAAAAUUAGUAAAUUUUGCAAAAUAUUUACAACCUAUAACAAAUUCUAUCAUUGAGAAUCACUGAUAUGUUAUAGUGAUAAAAAAUUAUCAUUGAUAGAAUGCAAAAUUUUGUUAUAACUUGUAAAUAAUUUAAUUUAUUUUGCUAUUUUUAAAAAUUUCUCUUUGCCUCAUAGAGUGUAAAUAGUUUAUCAACUUUUUUUAUUUUUAAAACACCCUAAAAUAAAAAGAAUAAGAAAAAUUGUAAAAAGAAUAAUAAUUUGACAAAAUAUUUAUAACAUAAAGCAAAAUUUUCAAAUGAUAUCCAAUUAUGACAUUGAUAGAUAGUGAUAGAAGUCUAUCAGUAGCUACCAUUGAUAGAAUCCAAAAUUUUGUUAUAGCUUGUAAAUAUUUUAAUUUAGUUUGUUAUUUUUAAAAAUGUCCCAAAUAGUAAUAAUAAUAAUACUAAUAGUAACAAUAAAAUAAAAUAAAGAUAAACUGACAAAACACGAUUGUCUAUCAAUAAUAGACACCAAUAUCGCACGCUUCCACCCGAAAAGCGUCCUCUACGUACCAAGUGUGGACAUGAUCACUUGGACGAACAGACGUUUCAAGGUGAAAUGCCUGAAUAAUCUAGGUAUUUCUUUAAACUUAACUUCAACCUUAGGUGUGAUCAUGGUGGUGAAUAUUUCUAGUGUGCAAUAGGCCAUCAGAAGAUAUAAAACAUUAGUAGUCCUUUUAUUCACAAUCUUAUUACAACACAAACGUACAUCUUAUAUGUUGAAUGAUUACAAGACUUAAUCUAACUACUUCUACGCAAGAGAGCAAGUACUUAGGAGUAGUCUCCUUUUGUCUCACCUGAUGACACUUUUUCGCUUAACCUUGGAAAGGAAAACUUAAAAUAUAAUGUCACGCCCUGUCCCAAAAGUUACCUUUAUGCGAUCAAGUGGAGGCGUGACUCCAAGAAAGUCAACACGUAUCACAUUGUGUGAUAAACUCUAAUGCCUAGUAAGCGGAACAACUUCAAUUAGUCCAACUUCAAACAACUCAACUUAGAUGAACAUAAGGCAGCUGAAUAACUUAAACAACCAACCUAAUUCACUUAGCUUUACUUAAGCUUUUUAACAAAUAAGCAAUAAACACCAAACAAUCAAAUAGAAUAAGCACAACUUCUUUUUAUUAAGUUAACAUUUUACACCACAAUACAAACAUAAUAUCAUGCAUUUCACAUCUAACAGUUACUCACUUGAUAGGAAUAACAACACUUUGUAAAAUUCUUAGAAUAACAACCUUUCUUUAAUUCCUUCCCAAGACUUAUUUUUACUUAUCCUUUUAAUCUGCUUAGUCAUCACUUAAGUCUCCCUUAGCUUGCCACAUUCUACUUUCACUUUACAAAUGGCAGCUUGUAAAUGUGCAGACCAUGCGUCCAUCGUCAACUCAAGAAUAUUAUACACUUUCUUGAAAUUAUAACCUUAUCUUUUCGGAAGGCUAAACUUUUUUCUUGCCUUCUUCAUCUCGCGACAGGCAACAAACGGCAACUUCUUUUACUUGACUUCACUUUAAGUUACCACAAUAGAACGCCCAACUCUUAGCAUUGAAUUCAUACUUCUUACUGCCUCACCAAGCUUCAAUGUGUACUUUCUUCACGAAACGCCUCUUAUUCACAUUAGCCAAAAACAAUCCUUUUAUCAAGGCUUGUUUUCAACAGAACUACCUUUUCUCGAAUAUAGUCCUUACAUAUAAGCUCAUAGCUUGGUGAGUGACAAGGAUUAAAAAAAAAAUUUCAGAAAAUACAAUUACAUACAAUAAAAGCUUUAUCUUAUUUUGAGAAAUGUUUUAACACCUCACUACGUGAUAAACAACACAAUAAUCACAUUAGCCUUUACUUAUUCCUAUUACCUGGAUAUUGAACUUCUUCAUCGCAAUGACUACUGUGAUGAUUAUAACUUCAACAUCAGCUUCUCUACGACGAACCCUCAUUCAAGACCAGUUGCUUCGACGAUUGACUUGAACACGAAUCACUAAACGACUUUAGCAAAUCUUAUACCAAGCAGACGACUGAAGGCGCAUGACAGAAUUUUCUCUUAUGUGGACAUAAUAACUAGUUUUUUUUUAUCGAGAAUAAGAAUAAUGGUUUUGUAUACAUACAAGCAUGACAACAUUACAACUUCACAAACCUAGACAUACUUCAAAUUAGUCAUGUUCUUUUAUACGUGUAUAUGAGAUUGUAGCAUGAGCAUAUCUAUAAUGAAGUUUUUUCCUCCUGUCGUUCUGGUUCUGUAAUGAAGUUUCACCUUUUUUUCUCUAAUAGAACUUCCACUCAAGUAAACACAUAAAAUAAUUCAUCUUCAAACCUAUUUAUACUAUCAUAAAAUUAGGUUAGUUAACAUUACACUGCUCCUAAUCUUGACAGCUUCUACUUAGUGCGUUACAUGUAUUAAGUUUAGUAUAUCCUUCUUAACACAUGUUUAACUUCAACUUAAUCAAUUUUUAGCCGAUGAAUUAAACUCCUCCUUGCGUAGUUCGUCACUUGAUAAUUGGUUAAAUGCUCGUUGCCACCUUUUCUUCUUGUGUUAUCCUGUUGUAUUGCGUUGUCUUUCUUCACAAUGCGUUGUCUGAUUCCUUCGCCUUUGUCCAUUUCCUCUCAUUAUCUCCAAACGACUACUUAAGCUUAAUUAUGCCAACUUUUAAAAAUUAAUUACAAGAAACUCAUUUAUUAGGAUGCGGGUUUCACAAGUGUUAGAUAAUAAUAGUCUAUCAAUGUCUAUUAUAAUCAUCUAUCUAUGAUAUUUUGUUAUAUUUGUAAAUAUUUUAAUUCAAAUACAACAAACUUUUACUAUCUAUUUUGUUUUUAUAAAAUGAAAAAAAAAUCAAAAACAUAAAUUUUGUUUUUAUAAAACAGAAAACAAAAUAAUUACCACACGUAUAUGUUUAUUUUUAAUAAACGAAAAUUAGAAAACAGAAUUUUAGAAACAAAAAAAAAUGAAAGGAUUAUUAAACGAGGUCAUACAGAUUUUAAAAUUUUGUUUUUUUUUUUUAUAGAAUUAGGCUAAAAUUCAACUCAUUGUAAAAAAUAGGAAAAAAUAGGCUUAAUUUUUUUAAAAACAAAUAUUAAUUACUCAAGGCCUAUUUUUAUUUUAUAAAAUUUGAAAAAAAUUAGGUACCAAAAACAGGAGUUUUAGAUGUAAAAUUUGUCAAUUUUCAAAAAUAAAACUCAAAUAGAAAACAAAAUGGUUAUCAAAUAGAGUAUUCAUUCUAAUAUUUUUUUUAAUUUAAUUGAAAUCAUACAUAUGUAAGUUUACAAUUACUCGCAUGUUUACACGCACAAUUUUUCUGUCAUUAUUAAUGAUAUAGCAAUUUAUGAUUUACAACAUAUUUUAUGGAACUAUCCAUUCAUUUUGAAAUGUCUAUUUCCAAAUUGUGCAAUGUUUAUUAUGUAACUUGAACAAAACUAUAGAACGCUGAGAUAAAAGAGUCACAACCUAUAAUUAGAUAGGGUUAAAGGGUAACAGAUUGAUCUUCUUCUUCUUUCUAAUGUGAUCUGUAAGCUAAUAUUUCAAAAAAAUAAUGAAACUAAUAUACAGGCGAAAAAUAAUUAAAACAAGAAUCCUAUGUUCAUAGAAACCACUAAAGAAAAGGGAAAAAAACCCUAUUGGUUGAAAUAAUACUUCACUGCCUUUAGAUUAUAUUGUACCAUCUUUAAUUUGACCUCACGUAAAUCUCUGAUCAUAAGUAACAGGUAUGUGAAAAAAAUUCUUAUAAUUGAAGAGGGAUGGAUAGAGUGUUUUAAGUUAUCUACAAAAUAUGAUCAGUCCAGUUAUCUCAUAUGUCAAAAAUAUUCGAGAAAGUCGUUAGCUUCAAACUUAUGUCUUUGUUUUAAUUAAAAUCAUUCUGGUUAGAAAUACUUUGAAGUUUAGGUGUCUGUAACCGUAGUUAAAUUCCCUUUUGUAUACUCUAGUCUAAGAGAGGAAAAAAAGAGGUAAGUAGUCAAGAGAUUAAAAAGUGAUUUUGUAAUUUGAGAUCGGGAAAAGUGAUAUAUUUUAUAUGGAAGGAAAUUUUCUAGUUCUUGUUUUUUUCUUUGGUUCAAAGUUUUUUCACUUUAAUUCUUGUGUUUUUCGUUUUUAUUAUUUUCUUUUAAUUUCUCUGUUACUUUUCUACUUAUUCAUAUUGUAGAAGUGGAAGGUUUUUUCCAAUGCAACAGGUGAGUACAGAGCAAAUGUUAUAGAAAGAAAAGAAUGGUACAAAAUACUCUUCACACCAAUAUUUUAUACAAUAAUUCAUAACAAUACACACGAUAAACCUCAUGGAUGAAAAUGGCAAGAAAACUAGCUUAUUUUAAUCUCUUUGCACUACCUAUAUUCAUUCAUUGGUCAAAAGAGAGUUCUUGCCAUUUAAUUUCAAGCAAGAUGGGCUUCAAGUUCAUUUAACAAGGCAGUGGGUCAACAAGAAGAGAUUUAAUAAGAAACUUUGUUCUACUCUUUGCAUUUGUGUAUCCAUCUUCAUCCAAAUAAAGCAAGUUCAUAACUCUUGAAAAAUUGAGUACACGCAUUAGAACAGGCAAUGGUACAUUAAAUGGGCGAUAAAAUGCUUCAUUUGUAUCCUUCCAUGCAUCAACCACUUCCUUAUGAAGUUCAACACAAGCUUCUUCUUCUGAACAAUCAUAUUGCUCCAUGUACGAUUCAACGGCAGAAGCUACAUGCUCCCUUUCUUGUUCAAACUGAAAAUAAUAAUAAUAAUAAUAAAUUCAGGAAUGGAUUAUAUUCCACAUGAAAUAUUCCGUUUGGCCGAUUUAAUGGGUUUUGAUAUCAUAUUAAAUACAUAUAAAAUUUCAUCUUAAAACCUAAGUGAAAAUGUAAAGAGUGACCAGAGAAUAUAUAUACACACACCUUGUGGGAAGCGAUGUCGUCCAUGAGUCUACAAAUGAUAGUUGAGGCUUUAAUAAUUUGAGGUCCAUUGGAAAGCCAUUGAAGAACCUCGUUUGUUACAAUGUGAUCACCCAAUCCAAGAAAAGAAAUGGAUAUAAGCAAGGUAUAGCCUGUGGUAUUUAAUGCCAAUUCCAUGUACUCCUUAAAGCUUGGUUUAUACUUUUUAUUUAACCAUUUAGCUUCUUCAAAAUAGGAUUCAGAUAACUUUUUUAUCUGUAACAAUAAAUUAUAUAUAAUAAUUUAGAACACAUGAAUUAGAAAGAAAAAAACAAAAACAGAGGGGUAGGAAAUAGAUAACAAAAAGAAGAAACUUUACUCCUCCUAUUGCAACUUGAAGAUGGAGAGAAUUUUGAUCCUUGCCAAUCUCUUUGCUAAUUUCCUCAUAAACUUCAAACAUUGCUACAUAAAAAGGUUUCAUGUACUCGGGAAGUGUAUGCACCAUGCUUCUAUCCCACCUGAAAAUUUUCACUUUCACAUUUAUUUUAAAUUUUAAUAUUAGAAGUAAAAUUUCUUUUACUUUUUUUCUUUCAUUUUUCUUUUAAUGAUGUUUUCAAUGAGCAGUAGUAGAUAAAUUGUAUUAGAAAAAUAGGUUUUUGAUCUCUAAUUGUUUCCAUCUUUUAACGAUCCAAUUUGAUUUAGUUUUCUAAUUUGAAUUUUGUAGCAAGUUAGACUGUAACUAGAUUAUAUUACAAUCUAGUCUUUUUAUUUUGAAUUAUGUUGCAAUUAAAAAUCAAAUGUCAAUUCUUUAUCUAAGUUUGAUCCAUAAAACUGGUUAGUGUGACAAAUUUGUUCAUAAUAUAAUCGAGAUAGAUUAAGUCAAUAUACAUAAUAAAAAUAUGAUACUUAGGUUUUAUAGUUUGUUUAAAAUAGAGACUAAUUAUUAAUGAUCACAAAUUUAAAAGUCAAGAUUGUCUUAAGCUAAGGUUUAGGUACUAAAUUGUUGUUGCAAACUACUAGAACCAAUUUUAAUCUUUAAUGAUCUAUAUAGACCUAAACACUAAAUGAUUACAAACUAAAAUAAAGUUUGGAAUUAAGAUCAUUACUUAAUUCUAUGAAAAAUUGAAGGACCAUAAACAUAUUAUUUUAAGCAGAAACUUUUAUUAGUACUAGUCAUCAUGGGAAUAAUGAAAUAAAAUAACCUUUGAAUUGCUGGGGCGAGGACUUGGAGUUCUUCAAAUGUUCCAUAGGCAUCGUAAAUAUCAUCUAAAAUUGAAGAAAUUGCAAUUACUUUGGUUAACAUUUUCCUCCCAACGUUGUAUUGAGGUUCAAAGUAUGCUCCCAACGUCCAAAAAUAACACUCUACAAUUCUAUCUCUUGCAAAAGGGAACUUUGUUGGGACAUCUAAAUCCUUCCACCACCUACAAAAAAAAACAAUAUAUAUAUAUAAUAAAUCAAUGAGCUGUCUAAGAAUAACUAAAAAAUAAUUAACAUGUAAUACACACCUAAGUAAAAAAAAGUCAAAGCAGGAUUUUACCCAAUAUGGAAGCAUAUAGUAUGAUAGUAGUACCUGCAGAUUUCGCUUAGCUCCUUUUGAUGAAGUUUUUGUAAUAUGUUGAAGUCUAGUUUAGAGAAUUCAAGCAAAGUCUCACUGUGAGAAGGAUGUUGCUGGUAAAUUUGAAAAUACUCUCUUGCCUUGAUUCUUGGAACACAUUUUCUAAUAGGCAAUUUCAAUGCAUUACUAACUUCAGAUGCAAAAUUUGGAUUAAUAUUUGAGUAAAGAUGAAUAUAUGCUUUAAGAUGUGUGGUUGUAAAUUCAAGAGCUUCCUCAAGCAAAGCUUCUCCAUGCCCCCUC